GUCUUCAGUCGGGCUGGUUACUCACCACGCGGCGGGCACAUGCUGAGCGGGCACUGGGCGGACACUGGGCUGGAGCUGGAUCCGGACGGUGGACGCAGCAGCUUCCACCUUGUGGGCGGACAGGACUAUUCUAGCUCCAGCCAUCACACCUGCAUUUCAACUGUUGGGAACGGGAUAAGUGGAAAGGGAGAGCAUACUUCUUUCCCUCAAGCCAAGAAGAACCAGUUUUAGACUGGUAUGUGAUUUGCUGAAGAGCUUGGAAGGUACCAGAGGAGAUUCAUGUCGAAAUCCCAUCUCCUGUUCUCCAACCUUACUUUCUAUGAAGACAAAACUUUGAAGACAAACUGAGUUUCCACAGGAAUAAUCACACAGAAGGACAGACCACUGCUAAUUUAGGUAGCUGGCGAUGCAGGGGUGUUGCCUCCUCUCCAGCAUGUCAGCCCAACUUCCUUUCAGUCUCUGAUGUCCAAGACCCAGUCUAGCUAGUUCAAACUCAUCUUCUCACCAAAUUCCAAGGCUAUUAAAGAUUCAAGGACAGGGCUCAGUUGGUUAAGCAUCCAACUCUUGAUUUCAGCUCAGGUCAUGAUCUCACCGUUCAUGAGUUCAAGCCCCAUGCUGGGCUCUGCACUGACAGUGCGGAGCCUGCUUGGGAUU
Molecule: long non-coding RNA, 654 nt
Organism: Prionailurus viverrinus (fishing cat)
Lineage: Eukaryota; Metazoa; Chordata; Mammalia; Carnivora; Felidae
Exons: 3
Source: RefSeq, a predicted model, not a curated record